UGUUGUUCUCUUUCUUGGUUUUCUUGUUCCUAAUAUUCCAUCUCUUUAUGAAAAGCCUUUUCUUUCUUUUGGUUUCCAGGAAAAGAAAAAGGGCUAAUAAAGCAGAAGAGGAUGCGAAGAUGCGUAAUCGAGGGAGUUGGAAGAGUUCAUAGUAAAACAAGAGAAGAUACGUAACCAGCAGGUACGAUAUCACGUGUAUUAUUUAUUCAAUAUUUGAUCGUCGUCUCAUGAUGAGUCAUGAUUUGCCAUAGGCUGCAUUUGUUUGCACUCGGAGCUCCGGUAAUCUUCGGUUCGUAGAGUUUAAUAAUGAUUGGUGCCGUAGGCUGUAUUUUGUUCGCAGUCGGAGCUCCGACGGAGAAUGAUUAGAUAUUUCUUGUUCUUGGUGCCACAGCACAAUGAGUAGUUGUUUGAAAAACAAAAGAAUGAUGUGAUUGCAUCAAAUGCUCAUCCGAGUACGGAUCUUUAUCCGACAAAUACCCUAAUUUAUUUAUUAAUCUUU
RNAcentral lists this long non-coding RNA (499 nucleotides) under Durio zibethinus. Its description in RNAcentral is "long non-coding RNA (DZIB_LNC001359)". Lineage: Eukaryota; Viridiplantae; Streptophyta; Magnoliopsida; Malvales; Malvaceae. The record is from RNAcentral.